AUUUCUAAGUGAUCUGAAUCCAUUCAUUUGCAUCUUGGGUCAUUAAACUCUAAUUGCUUAAUCUCAGAAUUGCUUGAAUCAGAACUAGAUGAUCCAAAUUACCACCAAGAAAUUACUAUCUCCGGCUACGAGCUUCAGCACCAAUCAGCAAAGUGAAUAAGUACUGUGCUUCUUCCAAUUUUCAUUCCAUUUGGAGAAGAAAGAAUAUCACACGUCAAAUAUCAGGACUGACCCAGAUGUCAAGCCUAGGGAAUAUAUCAUCAAGAACCUACUGACAUAAUUAACUAUUUAAGCUGACAGUGAAGUUGAAGUUGUAAUGGCUGAACCCUUGGAGGAGAUAUUGUCCAUAUUCUUCAG
RNAcentral lists this long non-coding RNA (357 nucleotides) under Marmota monax (woodchuck). Lineage: Eukaryota; Metazoa; Chordata; Mammalia; Rodentia; Sciuridae. The record is from RNAcentral.